RNAcentral lists this long non-coding RNA (1425 nucleotides) under Fukomys damarensis (Damara mole-rat). RNAcentral describes it as "lncRNA (ENSFDAG00000031902.1)". Lineage: Eukaryota; Metazoa; Chordata; Mammalia; Rodentia; Bathyergidae. The record is from RNAcentral.
UGGGGGGCACAGACCACCCUGUGGCCUGAACAGGGGCGGCUGCCCAAGGAGCCGACUCAGGCCUCAAGCCUCACCCACCAAGGUCGCUGCUUCUGUACCCCUUCCUUCUUCAUGUGAAAUAAGAGGGCAUUUGCAGGUAAGCACGCUUUGGUUUGCCUGGAUUUAACUUAACAUCAAUAAAUGAGCAUGUGGGGCCCGUCCAUCCCUGGACACCCUCGGGUGCUGGUGUGUGCCCGGGGUGAAGAGGUUUGGUUUCACGCUUGCCAGGGGGCUCAGAGCUCUGGCUGGACUCUGAGGACCCAGGGGCCAGGGACGUGCCCCAUCGGGCCACCAGGGGGCGCACACCACCCGCCACUCGGCCAGCCCCCAAAACAGGGCUCUCACCGGGCGGGGGCAGCAGUGACCCAGGACUGUGGGCUCUGAACUCGAGGGAGCCCUUCCCCCCUACCCGCCAUCCUACCCAGUGUGCCCUUGCCCCUCACUUCAGCACUGCCAUGGUCCCUCACGAGCCCAGAGGGCAGAAGACACUGGCCCACCCCAAGGAAGGCCCGCUCCAGAAGGGUCACCCAGCAUCCCGCUGCCAUCCCAGGGUCAGCAGCAGGGAGACACCAGGGCCUGUCCAUGUCCCCAUCUGCUCAGGAAGAUGGAGGGGCCCUCACGAGGCGGAGCAGUCAGGGCAGCGAGAGGACACUGGGCCGGGGCAGGCCCCCCCUGCCCCAGAGCUGCAGCUUCCUGGGCCUGUACACCCCCACCCCAACAGGGGGGUGUUGACCUCGCCACUACCUGGCACCCCCGGAGCUGAGGGGCUGCUUGCCAGCACCUGCUUGUCUGGGACUCCAUACCCCCCAAGAGUCCCUGGAAAGAGUCCCUGCAACUUCCUAGGACAGCUUGAGGGCCAGGAGUGGCCCUAACCUCCACCUGCUGGACACCAGGGUGGAUUCGGCUUCCUGCGAGACUGUGUUGCCUGGUGCUCCACGCUGGACACUUGGAGCGAUGUGUUCCGGGAAGUUCCUGGCUAUAUUUAGCCUGGUGAUUCUCAUGCCAGCCCUUCCCAGAGGAAGGAAAUGGCCCUGAGCCCCCGGCACUCCUUCUGCAGCCAGGGCCUUCACCACAUAGACCUGCUGGGCCUCUGCUUCCCUCCCGAGCCGCUGAUGCGAGCACACCCAUCCCAACAGCACUGCCCUGGACAUCCUCACAGGAGCAGGGUCUGGAGGGACGGGCACUGGUCCACACACAGCCAGCAGCGCAGAGCCCUGGAGGACGCCCUCAGCCUGCUUUCCACAGCCUGCAGCACCUGCCAUUGCACUUUGCAUCCAGAGUCUCCCCAAAAGAUCUGGGAGGCCCGGUCACAGGCUAAGGAAUUCUGGGAAGAUGACUGGAUCUCGAGGACUCUGACUUCAUCGAUAGAUCGAUCAUAACCGAAGG